Molecule: ribosomal RNA, 241 nt
Filed under: uncultured Staphylococcus sp.
Lineage: Bacteria; Bacillati; Bacillota; Bacilli; Caryophanales; Staphylococcaceae
Description: partial 16S ribosomal RNA
Rfam family: Bacterial small subunit ribosomal RNA
Source: RNAcentral
GGGACGGGUGAGUGACACGUGGAUAACCUACCUAUAAGACUGGGAUAACUUCGGGAAACCGGAGCUAAUACCGGAUAAUAUAUUGAACCGCAUGGUUCAAUAGUGAAAGACGGUUUUGCUGUCACUUAUAGAUGGAUCCGCGCCGCAUUAGCUAGUUGGUAAGGUAACGGCUUACCAAGGCAACGAUGCGUAGCCGACCUGAGAGGGUGAUCGGCCACACUGGAACUGAGACACGGUCCAG